Molecule: ribosomal RNA, 1162 nt
Filed under: human gut metagenome
Description: bacterial LSU rRNA
Rfam family: Bacterial large subunit ribosomal RNA
Source: RNAcentral
GAAACCCCCUCGCCGAAAGACUAAGGUUUCCUGAUCAACGCUAAUCGGAUCAGGGUCAGUCGGGUCCUAAGGCUCAGCCGAACGGCGAUGCCGAUGGCAGAAACGGUUAAUAUUCCGUUACUACCUUCAGGAGUGACGUGGAGACGCAGUAGUGACAGUGCCGCCAUCUGACGGAAUAGAUGGUUGAAGGGUGUAGGAGUCGAUCAUGGCAGGCAAAUCCACCAUGAGAUCCGAACCUGAUAGUAUGCCGCGUCCUUCGGGACAAGGCAAUAGUGCGCGUAAGCAUGCUGCCGAGAAAAUCCGCUAAACUUAAUCCUGCAGGUACCCGUACCGCAAACGGACACACGUAGUCGGGAUGAAUAUUCUAAGGCGCUUGAGUGAUUCACGGUUAAGGAACUAGGCAAACUGACCCUGUAACUUCGGGAUAAAGGGUCCCUACCCUUUUAUGGGAGGGCGCAGAGAAUCGGUCCAGGCAACUGUUUAACAAAAACACAGGGCUGUGCCAAAUCGAAAGAUCCAGUAUACAGCCUGACACCUGCCCGGUGCUGGAAGGUUAAGAGGAGAUGUCAUCGAUAAGAGAAGCGUUGAAUUGAAGCCCCAGUAAACGGCGGCCGUAACUAUAACGGUCCUAAGGUAGCGAAAUUCCUUGUCGGGUAAGUUCCGACCUGCACGAAUGGUGUAAUGAUCUGGACACUGUCUCAACCGUGAGCUCAGUGAAAUUGUAGUAUCGGUGAAGAUGCCGAUUACCCGCGAUGGGACGAAAAGACCCCGUGAACCUUUACUAUAGCUUAUCAUUGAAUCUGGGCACGUGAUGUGUAGGAUAGGUCGGAGGCUUUGAAGCAGGUACGCCAGUAUUUGUGGAGCCGCUGUUGAAAUACGACCCUUUAUUUGUUUGGAUUCUAACCCGUGGAUACGGGGACAUUGAUUGGUGGGUAGUUUGACUGGGGUGGUCGCCUCCAAAAGCGUAACGGAGGCUUCUAAAGGUGCCCUCCGGCCGAUUGGUAACCGGCCUUAGAGUGUAAUGGCAUAAGGGCGCUUGACUGGGAGACUGACAAGUCGAUCAGGUAGGAAACUAGAGCAUAGUGAUCCGGUGUUUCCGUAUGGAAGGGACAUCGCUCAAAGGAUAAAAGGUACUCCGGGGAUAACAGGCUGAUCCCUCCCA